Molecule: ribosomal RNA, 329 nt
Filed under: uncultured eukaryote
Lineage: Eukaryota
Description: partial 18S ribosomal RNA
Rfam family: Eukaryotic small subunit ribosomal RNA
Source: RNAcentral
CCCUUAGAUGUUCUGGGCCGCACGCGCGCUACACUGAUGCAUUCAACGAGUCUAAAACCUGCUCUGAUAGGGGUGGGUAAUCUUUUGAAUGUGCAUCGUGAUUGGGAUAGAUGAUUGCAAUUUUUCAUCUUCAACGAGGAAUGCCUAGUAAACGCGAGUCAUCAGCUUGCAUUGAUUACGUCCCUGCCCUUUGUACACACCGCCCGUCGCUCCUACCGAUUGAAUGAUCCGAUGAAUAUCAUGGAUUGAGGAUGCAAGCAGGUUCGCCUGUCUUCAUCUUCGAGAAGUGAAGUAAAUCUUAUCAUUUAGAGGAAGGAGAAGUCGUAACA